AGAAGUAAAUGGUUUAAGUUGCGGCUGCUAACUGUGAUUUGAGUGGGUAGGUCCAUUCUUACUUUUG
This 67-nucleotide transfer RNA is filed under the name Gononemertes parasita. Its description in RNAcentral is "tRNA-Ser". The record is from RNAcentral. Lineage: Eukaryota; Metazoa; Nemertea; Enopla; Monostilifera; Prosorhochmidae.